GUCUCCACCAAUUGUAAUUGUGAAUUCGACUACGUCUUAGUCCACUUACUUAAUUCAAAAGCAAGUUAAUGGAGCAACGAUAAUUCAAGAUGUAAGUUCGCCACAAAAAUUACAAACAAUAAGCCCGUUGCCACAACGUCUUGUCAAUUGGUGGCAAUGGUAUCAGCAAUUGACAGGGAUGGAUAAAGUUGAAAUAGCAAAGC
This 203-nucleotide unclassified non-coding RNA is filed under the name Neodiprion lecontei (redheaded pine sawfly). RNAcentral describes it as "uncharacterized LOC107220986, transcript variant X1". The record is from RNAcentral. Lineage: Eukaryota; Metazoa; Arthropoda; Insecta; Hymenoptera; Diprionidae.